UGGGGAAUUUUGGACAAUGGGGGAAACCCUGAUCCAGCCAUCCCGCGUGUGCGAUGAAGGCCUUCGGGUUGUAAAGCACUUUUGGCAGGAAAGAAACGUCAUGGGUUAAUACCCCGUGAAACUGACGGUACCUGCAGAAUAAGCACCGGCUAACUACGUGCCAGCAGCCGCGGUAAUACGUAGGGUGCAAGCGUUAAUCGGAAUUACUGGGCGUAAAGCGUGCGCAGGCGGUUCGGAAAGAAAGAUGUGAAAUCCCAGAGCUCAACUUUGGAACUGCAUUAUUAACUACCGGGCUAGAGUGUGUCAGAGGGAGGUGGAAUUCCGCGUGUAGCAGUGAAAUGCGUAGAUAUGCGGAGGAACACCGAUAGCGAAGGCAGCCUCCUGGGAUAACAAUGACGCUCAUGCACGAAAGAGUGGGGAGCAAACAGG
Molecule: ribosomal RNA, 429 nt
Filed under: Acidobacteriota bacterium
Lineage: Bacteria; Pseudomonadati; Acidobacteriota
Description: Acidobacteria bacterium partial 16S ribosomal RNA
Rfam family: Bacterial small subunit ribosomal RNA
Source: RNAcentral